This 497-nucleotide ribosomal RNA is filed under the name uncultured bacterium. RNAcentral's name for it is "partial 16S ribosomal RNA". The record is from RNAcentral.
GUAGUUAGCCGGGGCUUUCUAAUGGGGUACCGUCAUUUUUUCGUCCCCCACAACAGAGGUUUACAAUCCGAAAACCUUCUUCCCUCACGCGGCGUUGCUGGGUCAGGCUUGCGCCCAUUGCCCAAUAUUCCCCACUGCUGCCUCCCGUAGGAGUCUGGACCGUGUCUCAGUUCCAGUGUGGCCGAUCAGCCUCUCAGCUCGGCUACCCAUCGCAGGCUUGGUGGGCUGUUAUCUCACCAACUACCUAAUGGGACGCGAACCCCUCCUUCAGCGGAUUGCUCCUUUGACCUCAUCCCGAUGCCGGGUCGUGGUCUUAUGCGGUAUUAGCACUUGUUUCCAGGUGUUAUCCCCCUCUGAAGGUCAGGUUGUUCACGCGUUACUCACCCGUUCGCCACUAAAAUUUAUCUUCCAUCCGAAAACUUCUGAUAAAUCUCCGUUCGACUUGCAUGUGUUAGGCACGCCGCCAGCGUUCGUCCUGAGCACAUACAACUACUAGA